This 899-nucleotide long non-coding RNA is filed under the name Homo sapiens (human). Its description in RNAcentral is "non-protein coding LINC00621:6". The record is from RNAcentral. Lineage: Eukaryota; Metazoa; Chordata; Mammalia; Primates; Hominidae.
ACAGUCGCCAGAUCCAGUUCCAAGUGCCGAACCGAACGCGGAGCCAGGAGAUGCAGUCUCACUCUGUGGCCCAGGCUGGAGUGCAGUGGCGUGAUCUUGGCUCACUGCAACCUCCAUCUCCUGAGUUCAAGCAAUUCUCCUGUCUCAGCCUCCUAAAUAGUUGGAAUUACAGGCAAGCACCACCACGCUCAGCUACAGGAAUUUAGCCAAUUCAGAGGAAAUCUUCCCCAUAAUUAUGGAACUUUCUUACAGAUUUUACCAAGUCUGGUCAACCCAAUAAGAAAAAGACUGAAAUAACAACAACAACUUCAACAAAUAAAAAAAAACAGUUAAGCUAAAUAAACAGAUGAUUGCAGAAUUUAUGUGAUUACUGGGUACUCUAAUGGUAAGGAGAAAUUAAGACCAGCUAGUUGUUAAUCUUAACUUUUAGUCAUUAAGGAGAAUUUCCAAGACAAAACUGCAAUCCAGCUGCUUACCUAGGAAUACGGCUUAGGCUGAAAACUUCUAUCGUCUUAGAAAUGGGAAUAAACCUCACACUCACCGUCCCUGUUGGAAGCAAGCUGAAACUCCAAAAAAAAAGUUGCCUGUUGUCCAUCAUCAUGGUGAAGCGGCGUCGUUGUCUGGGUCAAGAAAACUUUUAGACAUGAAAUCAACCUAGGCGUCCAUCAAUAGUGGAUUGGAUAAAGAAAACGUGGUACAUAUACACCAUGGAGUACUAUGCAGCCAUAAAAAAUGAAAUCAUGUUCUUUGCGGCAACAUGGAUGCAGCCACUAUCCUAAGUGAAUUAAUGCAGGAAUAGGAAACUGAAUACCACAUGUUCUCAUUUACAAGUGGGAGCUAAACAUUUGGGAGCUCAUGGACAUAAAGAUGGCAAUGAUAUGCACUGGGGACUACUAGAG